UUGCCGGCGACCGGCGCACGGGUGAGUAACGCGUAUCCCACCUUCCGCUUACUCGGGGAUAGCCUUUCGAAAGAAAGAUUAAUACCCGAUGGUAUCUUAAGCACGCAUGAGAUUAAGAUUAAAGAUUUAUCGGUAAGCGAUGGGGAUGCGUUCCAUUAGGCAGUUGGCGGGGUAACGGCCCACCAAACCUACGAUGGAUAGGGGUUCUGAGAGGAAGGUCCCCCACAUUGGAACUGAGACACGGUCCAAACUCCUACGGGAGGCAGCAGUGAGGAAUAUUGGUCAAUGGGCGAGAGCCUGAACCAGCCAAGUAGCGUGAAGGAUGACGGCCCUACGGGUUGUAAACUUCUUUUGUGCGGGAAUAAAGGAACCUACGUGUAGGUUUUUGCAUGUACCGUAACGAAUAAGCAUCGGCUAACUCCGUGCCAGCAGCCGCGGUAAUACGGAGGAUGCGAGCGUUAUCCGGAUUUAUUGGGUUUAAAGGGAGCGUAGACGGGUUUUUAAGUCAGCUGUGAAAGUUUGGGGCUCAACCUUAAAAUUGCAGUUGAAACUGGAGACCUUGAGUACGGUUGAGGCAGGCGGAAUUCGUGGUGUAGCGGUGAAAUGCUUAGAUAUCACGAAGAACUCCGAUUG
This 633-nucleotide ribosomal RNA is filed under the name uncultured Bacteroides sp. RNAcentral's name for it is "bacterial SSU rRNA". It matches the Rfam family "Bacterial small subunit ribosomal RNA", at positions 85 to 715 of the family's 1533-position model. Lineage: Bacteria; Pseudomonadati; Bacteroidota; Bacteroidia; Bacteroidales; Bacteroidaceae. The record is from RNAcentral.